ACUAGUAUAGUUUUUAGAAUGUUAUUUUGAAAGGAUAGAGGUAGCAUAGUUUAUAUUAUGUUUAUUAGUA
This 70-nucleotide transfer RNA is filed under the name Parasacculina shiinoi. RNAcentral describes it as "tRNA-Phe". Lineage: Eukaryota; Metazoa; Arthropoda; Thecostraca; Polyascidae. The record is from RNAcentral.